GGAAUCUUCCACAAUGGGCGCAAGCCUGAUGGAGCAACACCGCGUGAGUGAAGAAGGGUUUCGGCUCGUAAAGCUCUGUUGUUAAAGAAGAACACGUAUGAGAGUAACUGUUCAUACGUUGACGGUAUUUAACCAGAAAGUCACGGCUAACUACGUGCCAG
RNAcentral lists this ribosomal RNA (161 nucleotides) under uncultured bacterium. RNAcentral's name for it is "partial 16S ribosomal RNA". It matches the Rfam family "Bacterial small subunit ribosomal RNA", at positions 358 to 511 of the family's 1533-position model. The record is from RNAcentral.